GGUUUACCUGUGUGACUGCGUACCUUUUGUAUAAUGGGUCAGCGACUUAUAUUCUGUAGCAAGGUUAACCGAAUAGGGGAGCCGGAGGGAAACCGAGUCUUAAUUGGGCGUUAAGUUGCAGGGUAUAGACCCGAAACCCGGUGAUCUAGCCAUGGGCAGGUUGAAGGUUGGGUAACACUAACUGGAGGACCGAACCGACUAAUGUUGAAAAAUUAGCGGAUGACCUGUGGCUGGGGGUGAAAGGCCAAUCAAACCGGGAGAUAGCUGGUUCUCCCCGAAAGCUAUUUAGGUAGCGCCUCGUGAAUUCAUCUCCGGGGGUAGAGCACUGUUUCGGCUAGGGGGCCAUCCCGGCUUACCAACCCGAUGCAAACUGCGAAUACCGGAGAAUGUUAUCACGGGAGACACACGGCGGGUGCUAACGUCCGUCGUGAAGAGGGAAACAACCCAGACCGCCAGCUAAGGUCCCAAAGUCAUGGUUAAGUGGGAAACGAUGUGGGAAGGCCCAGACAGCCAGGAUGUUGGCUUAGAAGCAGCCAUCAUUUAAAGAAAGCGUAAUAGCUCACUGGUCGAGUCGGCCUGCGCGGAAGAUGUAACGGGGCUAAACCAUGCACCGAAGCUGCGGCAGCGACGCUGAUGCGUUGUUGGGUAGGGGAGCGUUCUGUAAGCCUGCGAAGGUGGCCUGUGAGGGUUGCUGGAGGUAUCAGAAGUGCGAAUGCUGACAUAAGUAACGAUAAAGCGGGUGAAAAGCCCGCUCGCCGGAAGACCAAGGGUUCCUGUCCAACGUUAAUCGGGGCAGGGUGAGUCGACCCCUAAGGCGAGGCCGAAAGGCGUAGUCGAUGGGAAACGGGUUAAUAUUCCCGUACUUGGUGUUACUGCGAAGGGGGGACGGAGAAGGCUAUGUUGGCCGGGCGACGGUUGUCCCGGUUUAAGCGUGUAGGUGUGUGUUCCAGGUAAAUCCGGUUCACUUUAACACUGAGGCGUGAUGACGAGGCACUACGGUGCUGAAGCAACAAAUGCCCUGCUUCCAGGAAAAGCCUCUAAGCAUCAGGUAACAUCAAAUCGUACCCCAAACCGACACAGGUGGUCAGGUAGAGAAUACCAAGGCGCUUGAGAGAACUCGGGUGAAGGAACUAGGCAAAAUGGUGCCGUAACUUCGGGAGAAGGCACGCUGACACGUAGGUGAAGUGAUUUACUCAUGGAGCUGAAGUCAGUCGAAGAUACCAGCUGGCUGCAACUGUUUAUUAAAAACACAGCACUGUGCAAACACGAAAGUGGACGUAUACGGUGUGACGCCUGCCCGGUGCCGGAAGGUUAAUUGAUGGGGUCAGCGCAAGCGAAGCUCCUGAUCGAAGCCCCGGUAAACGGCGGCCGUAACUAUAACGGUCCUAAGGUAGCGAAAUUCCUUGUCGGGUAAGUUCCGACCUGCACGAAUGGCGUAAUGAUGGCCAGGCUGUCUCCACCCGAGACUCAGUGAAAUUGAACUCGCUGUGAAGAUGCAGUGUACCCGCGGCAAGACGGAAAGACCCCGUGAACCUUUACUAUAGCUUGACACUGAACAUUGAGCCUUGAUGUGUAGGAUAGGUGGGAGGCUUUGAAGUGUGGACGCCAGUCUGCAUGGAGCCGACCUUGAAAUACCACCCUUUAAUGUUUGAUGUUCUAACGUGGACCCGUGAUCCGGGUUGCGGACAGUGUCUGGUGGGUAGUUUGACUGGGGCGGUCUCCUCCUAAAGAGUAACGGAGGAGCACGAAGGUUGGCUAAUCCUGGUCGGACAUCAGGAGGUUAGUGCAAUGGCAUAAGCCAGCUUGACUGCGAGCGUGACGGCGCGAGCAGGUGCGAAAGCAGGUCAUAGUGAUCCGGUGGUUCUGAAUGGAAGGGCCAUCGCUCAACGGAUAAAAGGUACUCCGGGGAUAACAGGCUGAUACCGCCCAAGAGUUCAUAUCGACGGCGGUGUUUGGCACCUCGAUGUCGGCUCAUCACAUCCUGGGGCUGAAGUAGGUCCCAAGGGUAUGGCUGUUCGCCAUUUAAAGUGGUACGCGAGCUGGGUUUAGAACGUCGUGAGACAGUUCGGUCCCUAUCUGCCGUGGGCGCUGGAGAACUGAGGGGGGCUGCUCCUAGUACGAGAGGACCGGAGUGGACGCAUCACUGGUGUUCGGGUUGUCAUGCCAAUGGCACUGCCCGGUAGCUAAAUGCGGAAGAGAUAAGUGCUGAAAGCAUCUAAGCACGAAACUUGCCCCGA
Molecule: ribosomal RNA, 2237 nt
Filed under: Salmonella enterica subsp. enterica serovar Brandenburg
Lineage: Bacteria; Pseudomonadati; Pseudomonadota; Gammaproteobacteria; Enterobacterales; Enterobacteriaceae
Description: partial 23S ribosomal RNA
Rfam family: Bacterial large subunit ribosomal RNA
Source: RNAcentral